AGGCCUGUAGCUUAGGGGUCAGAGUACUACUUCGACAUGGUAGUGGUCGUUGGUUCGAAUCCAACCAGGCCUA
RNAcentral lists this transfer RNA (73 nucleotides) under Candidatus Tremblaya phenacola PAVE. RNAcentral describes it as "tRNA-Val (GAC) (tRNA-Val-GAC-1-1)". It matches the Rfam family "tRNA". Rfam says of the family: Transfer RNA (tRNA) molecules are approximately 80 nucleotides in length. The record is from RNAcentral. Lineage: Bacteria; Pseudomonadati; Pseudomonadota; Betaproteobacteria.